CGGGGUGUGGCGCAAUCUGGUAGCGCGCUUGCAUGGGGUGCAAGAGGCUCCGGGUUCAAAUCCCGGCACCCCGACUA
RNAcentral lists this transfer RNA (77 nucleotides) under Chloroflexota bacterium. Its description in RNAcentral is "Chloroflexi bacterium tRNA-Pro". It matches the Rfam family "tRNA". Rfam says of the family: Transfer RNA (tRNA) molecules are approximately 80 nucleotides in length. The record is from RNAcentral. Lineage: Bacteria; Bacillati; Chloroflexota.